This is a non-coding RNA of Podarcis lilfordi (Lilford's wall lizard), 77 nucleotides long. Lineage: Eukaryota; Metazoa; Chordata; Lepidosauria; Squamata; Lacertidae. The record is from the annotation of a GenBank genome assembly.
ACAGAGCUGCAUCUCAGUGGCAAAGCAUCUGCUUUACAAGCAGAAGUUCCCUGGUUCAAUCUCUGGAACCAGCUGUG